Molecule: ribosomal RNA, 549 nt
Filed under: Rotylenchus cypriensis
Lineage: Eukaryota; Metazoa; Nematoda; Chromadorea; Rhabditida; Hoplolaimidae
Description: eukaryotic LSU rRNA
Rfam family: Eukaryotic large subunit ribosomal RNA
Source: RNAcentral
CGGUGCAUUUGCAGGUGGAGUGCGCCGAGGCGCUCGGUGCAGCGGCAUGAGCUCGGUUUUGAGGCCAGCGCCGCAAGGUGUCUGGUACCCGGUCCGUGGGAGUGCUGUUUGUGCUGGGUGACAAUUGUGUGGGCAAUGGAAUCGGGCUCGUGUGGGCGCCGAGCUGGCAGUCGGCGGCGGUCGCGUGCGACACGUGCCAGCGGUCAGUUCGGUCCUGCUCGAGCUCUCAUCUGCUCGUCCUCGGUGUAAAAGCCGGUCAUCUGUCCGACCCGUCUUGAAACACGGACCAAGGAGUUUAGCGUGUGCGCGAGUCAUUGGGCGUUGAAAACCCAAAGGCGCAAUGAAAGUGAAGGUCUCCCUUGCGGAGCUGAUGUGUGAUCCUGGACACUGCGGUGCACUCCGGGCGCAACAUAGUCCCGUCCCGAUCGCUUGCGAUGGGGCGGAGACAGAGCGUACGCGCUGAGACCCGAAAGAUGGUGAACUAUUCCUGAGCAGGAUGAAGCCAGAGGAAACUCUGGUGGAAGUCCGAAGCGAUUCUGACGUGCAAAU